UCGUAUGGUGACAAGUCUCGUUAAUUCAGUAAAACGAGCGCGAUCUUAGUUGCAUAGGGGGUGUCUGCUGGCUCCGGUUGGCAAGCCGCCCCCCAUCCGUCUCCCGGAGAUGGUGGAAUUGCAAGACAUUCGGUGUAAGGCAAUCACGCCUGUAAUCGUAAGGAAGAGUAAGGCGAGAAUA
This 181-nucleotide ribosomal RNA is filed under the name uncultured eukaryote. RNAcentral's name for it is "partial 18S ribosomal RNA". The record is from RNAcentral.